This 1302-nucleotide ribosomal RNA is filed under the name metagenome. RNAcentral describes it as "SSU rRNA". It matches the Rfam family "Eukaryotic small subunit ribosomal RNA", at positions 528 to 1793 of the family's 1831-position model. The record is from RNAcentral.
AAUCCCUUAACGAGGAACAAUUGGAGGACAAGCCUGGUGCCAGCACCCGCGGUAAUUCCAGCUCCAAUAGCGUAUAUUAAAGUUGUUGCAGUUAAAACGCUCGUAGUCCGAAUUCUAGGUGGGGCAAAGAGGAAGAUCCGGGAAGGAUUGCUCCUUGGCGUCCCCCUUUUUAGUGGGAGAGGUUGGCUGUUCUUAGUUGAGUGGAUUGACUUUUUCUGCAACUGUACUGUGAAUAAAUUAGAGUGCUUAAAGCAAGCGAGUUGCAUGAAUACAUUAGCAUGGAAUACUGAAAAAAGGCAGCAGUCAUCUUAUUGGGGAUUUGAUGGCUUUCUUUUAGCUGCAAUGAUCAACGGGAACAGUUGGGGUGAUUGGUAUUUAGUUGUCAGAGGUGAAAUUCUUGGAUUGAAUAAAGACCAACUGCAGCGAAAGCGUUUUACAAGGAUGUUUUCAUUGAUCAAGAACGAAAGUUGGGGGAUCGAAGACGAUCAGAUACCGUCGUAGUCUCAACUAUAAACGUUACCGACUAAGGAUCGAGAGAUGUUUCUUGGAUGACUCACUCGGCACUUUGAGAGAAAUCAAAGUUUUUGGGUUCCGGGGGGAGUAUGGUCGCAAGGCUGAAACUUAAAGGAAUUGACGGAAGGGCACACCAGAAGUGGAGCCUGCGGCUUAAUUUGACCCAACACGGGGAAACUCACCGGGUCCGGACACAAUAAGGAUUGACAGAUUGAAGCUCUUUCUUGAUUUUGUGGGUGGUGGUGCAUGGCCGUUCUUAGUUGGUGGGGUGAUUUGUCUGGUUGAUUCCGAUAACGAACGAGACGCCAACCUACUAAAUAGGGGCUCCGGUUUUCUUGCAAGUGAAAGCCAUGUGGGUGAGUUUCUGAAAGGAAGCUUGUUUCUGUUGGACGGAUCUUUGAAAUACAGGGAGAAUCUUCUUAGAGGGACUACUGCUGUUUAAGCAGGGGAAGUGGCGCAAUAACAGGUCUGUGAUGCCCUUAGAUGUCUCGGGCUGCACGCGCGCUACAAUGCAUGAAGUUAACGAGUUUUCACUGGGCUUAGUGGCUUGGUAAAUCUUUGCAAUCUCAUGCGUAACGGGGAUUGAUCAUUGUAAUUAUUGGUCAUGAACGAGGAAUUUCUAGUAAGUGCAAGUCAUCAGCUUGCGCUGAUUACGUCCCUGCCCUUUGUACACACCGCCCGUCGCUCCUACCGAUUGAAUGCUCCGAUGAAAAGUUCGAAUUUGGGGUGGGCUCGCUUGCUCUGGAGAAGUUCUGUAAAUCUUAGCAUUUAGAGGAAGGAGAAGUCGUA